UGGGCGUAAGCGCGCGCAGGCGGUUUCUUAAGUCUGAUGUGAAAGCCCACGCCUCUACCGUGGAGGGUCAUUGGAAACUGGGGAACUUGAGUGCCUAAGAGAAAAGCGGAAUUCCACGUGUAGCGGUGAAAUGCGUAGAGAUGUGGAGGAACACCAGUGGCGAAGGCGGCUUUUUGGUCUGUAACUGACGCUGAGGCGCGAAAGCGUGGGGAGCGAACAGGAUUAGAUACCCUGGUAGUCCACGCCGUAUCCGAUGAGUGCUAAGUGUUAUAGGGUUUCCGCCCUUUCCUGCUGCAGCUAACGCAUGAAGCACUCGGCC
This 319-nucleotide ribosomal RNA is filed under the name Priestia flexa. RNAcentral's name for it is "bacterial SSU rRNA". It matches the Rfam family "Bacterial small subunit ribosomal RNA", at positions 555 to 873 of the family's 1533-position model. Lineage: Bacteria; Bacillati; Bacillota; Bacilli; Caryophanales; Bacillaceae. The record is from RNAcentral.